RNAcentral lists this ribosomal RNA (330 nucleotides) under uncultured bacterium. RNAcentral describes it as "bacterial SSU rRNA". It matches the Rfam family "Bacterial small subunit ribosomal RNA", at positions 29 to 361 of the family's 1533-position model. The record is from RNAcentral.
AUUGAACGCUGGCGGAAUGCUUUACACAUGCAAGUCGAACGGCAGCACGGGGGCAACCCUGGUGGCGAGUGGCGAACGGGUGAGUAAUACAUCGGAACGUGCCCAGUCGUGGGGGAUAACUACGCGAAAGCGUAGCUAAUACCGCAUACGAUCUACGGAUGAAAGCGGGGGAUCGCAAGACCUCGCGCGAUUGGAGCGGCCGAUGGCAGAUUAGGUAGUUGGUGGGGAAAGGCUCACCAAGCCGACGAUCUGUAGCUGGUCUGAGAGGACGACCAGCCACACUGGGACUGAGACACGGCCCAGACUCCUACGGGAGGCAGCAGUGGGGAA